AGAUUGAACGCUGGCGGCAUGCCUUACACAUGCAAGUCGAACGGUAACAGGGAGCUUGCUCCGCUGACGAGUGGCGAACGGGUGAGUAACACAUCGGAACGUGCCAUUGAGUGGGGGACAACGUAGCGAAAGUUACGCUAAUACCGCAUAUU
RNAcentral lists this ribosomal RNA (152 nucleotides) under uncultured soil bacterium. RNAcentral's name for it is "partial 16S ribosomal RNA". It matches the Rfam family "Bacterial small subunit ribosomal RNA", at positions 26 to 177 of the family's 1533-position model. The record is from RNAcentral.